GCCCCCGCCGCCCUGCCUGUCACCCCUUCUAACAUGAUGAUGGUAACUCCCAUCAAUGACCUGCAGGGCUGGGAGCCUGGCAGCAUGGUGAAGGGGGAGAGGUUGAUGCGCUGCAAGCUGGCCAGUGUCCAUCGGCUGUUUGACCUGUACGGCUGGGCCCAGAUCAGCCGCAGCUGUCUCACUCUGCGUGUCAGUAAAGAACAGGAACACUUCCUGGUGCUUUCAGACGGCCUGGCCUACGUGAGGUGACUGGAUCCAGUCUGUUAAAGGGAACAUCCUGGGUGAGGUGGUGGAGAAAGGCAGCACCAACCUGGGCGUGGACCCAGAGAAGUUCAGCCUGCACUCAGCCAUCUACUCCGCCCGGCCAGAUGUUCGCUGUCUGCUUCACCUCCACACAACGG
Etheostoma spectabile (orangethroat darter) is the source of this 401-nucleotide long non-coding RNA. RefSeq lists it as uncharacterized. NCBI's taxonomy places the organism in Eukaryota, Metazoa, Chordata, Actinopteri, Perciformes, Percidae. The record is from RefSeq and is a predicted model, not a curated record. The transcript has 4 exons.